Molecule: ribosomal RNA, 365 nt
Filed under: Acinetobacter baumannii
Lineage: Bacteria; Pseudomonadati; Pseudomonadota; Gammaproteobacteria; Moraxellales; Moraxellaceae
Description: partial 23S ribosomal RNA
Rfam family: Bacterial large subunit ribosomal RNA
Source: RNAcentral
CAAGGGUAUGGCUGUUCGCCAUUUAAAGUGGUACGCGAGCUGGGUUUAGAACGUCGUGAGACAGUUCGGUCCCUAUCUGCCGUGGGCGCUGGAGAAUUGAGGGGGGCUGCUCCUAGUACGAGAGGACCGGAGUGGACGCAUCACUGGUGUUCGGGUUGUCAUGCCAAUGGCACUGCCCGGUAGCUAAAUGCGGAAGAGAUAAGUGCUGAAAGCAUCUAAGCACGAAACUUGCCCCGAGAUGAGUUCUCCCUGAGACUUUAAGUCUCCUGAAGGAACGUUGAAGACGACGACGUUGAUAGGUCGGGUGUGUAAGCGCAGCGAUGCGUUGAGCUAACCGAUACUAAUGAACCGUGAGGCUUAACCUU